AAGAGUUUUAUAACUCCCAAACCCAUGUGAACAUACCGUACGUUGCCUCGGCAGGCUGCGUCUCCCCGUGAGGACCUACCCUGUAGGACGCUACGCUGUAAGGCUUAUCGGGAAGAUGCACUAAAGCCUGCCGGCGGCCCAUUAAAAUCUGUUUAUUUUUGAAUUCUGAGGCUAUAAUAAAUAAGUUA
Molecule: unclassified non-coding RNA, 188 nt
Filed under: uncultured Xylaria
Lineage: Eukaryota; Fungi; Ascomycota; Sordariomycetes; Xylariales; Xylariaceae
Description: sequence contains ITS1
Source: RNAcentral